RNAcentral lists this long non-coding RNA (1427 nucleotides) under Gossypium barbadense (sea-island cotton). RNAcentral describes it as "long non-coding RNA (GBAR_LNC007686)". The record is from RNAcentral. Lineage: Eukaryota; Viridiplantae; Streptophyta; Magnoliopsida; Malvales; Malvaceae.
AAACAUACAUACAUAUAUAUAUACACUAAUGAAAGUGCUUAAACAAUGCAAGGUUAAUGAAAUAAUCCAUGAUAAUAUGUCCAAAGAUAUAUAGCAAAUGAGUUUCUUUGAAAAAAAAAUAAAAAAUAAUAUAAAGAAUAAAAACUUGAGCUAAAAAACUCAAUUGAAGCAAAAAUAAAAUUAAACGGAUAAUUUGCAAAUAAAUAACAACUGUUAAACAACCUGAAGGACUAAAUAGGGAUUAAAAAAAAAUAAACCAUCUAAUGUGGACUAAAUUGAGUAUACGCGCAAAUUCUAGAAAUAAUUUAAAAGAAUCAAAGAAAAUAUAAAUAGGGCCUAAAUAGAUGGCGGCACAAAUGGGGAGGACUAAACGCAAAAAUUCCCCUUUUAAAGUGAGAAUGCGUGGAUCAAGCCAACGCAUUGACUUCCCUCCCCCCUCUUUUAAUGGUGCCUUCUGAAUUUUCAUUAAAACCUUUAUCAUUAUUAUUAUUUUUUAUUAUUAUUUUUUUUUACCUUGCAAACCCCAAAAGUCUCAACCCCCUCUGUUACGGUUUCACCCAAACAUGACGCCGGACCACCACCAUAUCUGGUUGCCGACGGUGCGAAAAAAUGGCCUAAGACCAUGACCACGAAGCCCUGGUAAGUGAGCUCCCUUUCUUUGUUCUCAUACAUCAAUAAAAAAGAUAAAAAAAGAAGAUGAAAACAACUUGAAAUCCUGUUUUGCUUUAGAAAAUAAAAGGGAGAGUUUUAUCACACAAGAAAGCAAAGGGCCUCAACCCCAUUUCGGGUCCGAAUCCAAAGACGGGGGAAAUCUCCGAUGACACGGCCACGAGGUAAGUCCCUCUCCUCUCUUAGUUGCGUGUAAAAAAAGAAAAUGUCACAAGAAAAUCAAAAUAGACUAAAAAUAAAGAAAAUCCAGAAAUCAAAUCACCUUUUUGAAAUAGUCUUCUUUUUGGAUUAAUACUCUCUGCUUCUUUUAUUUCCAAAAAAUCCCCCCUUUUUUGCAUUCGCUUUUUUCUUUGGCUUUAUAGCCAAGAAUAUUACAAAUACAUUAUCUAUGUUCUACUGCUUCUGCUUUGCGUGUUUCUCUUUCGUUUUGUAGGGCUAAGCGGGAUCAACGGAAAGGGCGCAGGUAGUGGUACAGGCGAUGGGACGGGGCACCUAUCUCGGGCGUUGAACGCGCUGACAGCACGUGAGGAGCAGUGCCUAAUGUGCUGGUAUGAAACCCUAGGGUUUCCUGGUUUAGUAUUUUGGGCCUAUUGGGGCCAAUAGGAAUUGGGUCAGAUUUUUUUAAAAUGGGUUUGGGUUUAUUGGGCUUGAAUUUGUAAAAUAGACUGUUAACAAUUAUUUUUUGAGUUGUUGAGCCUCGGACAAAUUUGGGCCUCUACAAAUAUAAUAGACACAAUUGAAUAUUUAAAAUCACAUUU